AUUCAAGAACUGUCAUUCAACAAAAAAACUUAAACAGUCCGUCAAUAGAACAUUUUUAUCCUAGUAGAAAAUCGAUGUCUUCUGACGAAUUUGCAUUUAACUUUGCAAGGAAACCUGAUGUUAAUAAAAGUCCCCCUAAAAUGACAGAAGGACUCAACUAUUUACCAGAGGUAUCAACUUUUGAAAAAUUAGGUAUGUUCAGUCAACUGAUAUUGAGUGUAAGAGUCACCACGCAAAGGAGCAUUUCUAAUAACACGUGUAUUCCCCAAAAAAACAAAACAUAUCAAAUUAAAAUAAACUGAUCAGUUAAUUUUCCAGCUACUAACUAAUCAAAAAUAAAAAGUAAUCGCCAAAGUGUAUAACAAUUCCUAAAAAUACAGAAAGUGUUGCGUGCAUUUUUGAUGGUGUGGAUUGGGGUUUACAAAAUGAGGAAUAAUGGGCAAAAGAAAAACGAAUUAAGAAAAAUGGACCAGAAAAUUAAUUAUGAGGUGCCUAAUUAUAAAGAAUAUGGUGGAAGAGUUUAAAAAAAGAAAAAAAGCGCCGUUAGUGGUUUUGUUUGAAUUAUUUUACAUUUGGGAUUUCGGGGCCUUUAAUUGGUGACUAAGCUGUAUGAGUUUUGCUCAUUGUUGAAGGCCGUACGAUGACAUAUAACUUUGAAUUUCAGUGUUAUGCGGUCUCUUCUACAGAACAGUCUCAGUGACAAUCAUUCCACAUUUUUUUUUAUAUAUGAGAAAAUAUAGAAUACAGAAAUAAAGAACCCCUCAUUAAACCUCUUAUUUGUUAUUGCGAUUUUGUGAGAAUGGACAAUAAUUUCAGAAAAAUCUGUGUAAAUGUAUAAGAUAUCAGAAUGCGAGUUCUCAUCAUCAAAAUCUCACAGAGUCGUAUUAUUUGUAUUGUUUAAAAAAUCGCAAUAAUUUCUGAAUUUACUGUACAAGAAUUUGAUUAUGAAGUUGUUGUAUUGAAGACUUGAUGACUUCCCAGAACAUUAAUGGUUUACAGAAUACAGGUUCUUAAACAUGGGCUCCUCUUAUUAUUAAUACAUAAAAAGGAACUUUUCAGAAACGUCGGAUUUAAAAGAGUUUAAUUUACAAAGGGCUAUAGAAAUGCAAUCUAAAUAAAGGUCACACACACAUUAAAUUUCACAUUCUGAUUGUUUAUUAUCGCAAAAAGUAAAAUCACAAAAAUACUGAACUCCGAGGAAAAUUCAAUCCGAAAGUCCGUAAUCAAAUGGUAAAAUCAAAUGACAAAACACAUCAACCGAAUAGACAACAACUGUAAUAUUCCUGACUUGGUACAGGCAUUUUCAAAUUUAGAAAAUGGUGGAUUGAACCUGAUUUUAUAGCGCUAAACAUCUUACUUGUAUGACAGUCGCACCAAAUUCCGUUAUAUUUACAACGAUGCGUGAACAAAACACACAUAAUUAAUAAAAUAGUCACUAUGUGGGUACAGCAGUCUUCUCUGUGUUUUUAUCUCAAAACAAACAAUCAUUUACCAAAAAAAAAAAAAAAAACCGACACAAAAGCAUCUAUCAAAUUAAAAAAAAUGUUUUUUGUGAUUUGCUUUUUUUUUUUAUCAAAACAAUUAUAUUUCACCUUUGAAUAAUACAUUCACUUGUGUUUUCAAGCAAAUGUCCAUAUAUGUAAUGAUAUACAUUGUAUUUUGUAUAUAGAAUACAUAAAAAAUGGAUUCAUCGACUGCAUAAUCGACAAAAGAAUAUACACACUGCCUAACACAAC
RNAcentral lists this long non-coding RNA (1736 nucleotides) under Mytilus galloprovincialis (Mediterranean mussel). Lineage: Eukaryota; Metazoa; Mollusca; Bivalvia; Mytilida; Mytilidae. The record is from RNAcentral.